RNAcentral lists this long non-coding RNA (337 nucleotides) under Lathyrus oleraceus (garden pea). Its description in RNAcentral is "Pisum sativum (pea) long non-coding RNA (PSAT_LNC024403)". Lineage: Eukaryota; Viridiplantae; Streptophyta; Magnoliopsida; Fabales; Fabaceae. The record is from RNAcentral.
CCAUUCAUUUGAUCAAUUGAUCAAGAUGAAUUAGAUUUGAAUCAAGGAAGAUUAAGCCUCCCUAAUCAAUGCUAACUUAUCAACCUUCAACUCAUUGAUCAAAAAAGAAAAAGAAGAAGAAGAAGAAAGAGAUGAAUAAUGGAAAAGGAAAAUGGAAAGAAUAAAGUGCAUAAGGUGAAAUCAAAUGUACCAAUCCAUAUGUGUUGACCAAAUGACAUUGAAAGUCAAAGUCAAACAAUGAGAAAUCAGAAAUGAGAUGAAGAUUGGAGGUCAAACAAUAAGCAAAAUAUUUUUGGCAUUUUUAAUAUUAAAAUAAACUUGAAUUAAAAAAUAAAAG